Molecule: ribosomal RNA, 850 nt
Filed under: uncultured bacterium
Lineage: Bacteria
Description: bacterial SSU rRNA
Rfam family: Bacterial small subunit ribosomal RNA
Source: RNAcentral
UGAACGCGGGCGGCGUGCCUAAUACAUGCAAGUCGAACGGACAUCGCAAGAUGUUAGUGGCGACCGGGUGCGUAACACGUAGCUGACCUGCCCCUCAGCGGGGGACAACAGUGCGAAAGCGCUGCUAAUACCGCAUACGCUCGGAGAGAUUAGAGGCUUUCUGAGGAAACUUCUGGGGUUGAGGGAGGGAGCUGCGGCCCAUCAGGUAGUUGGUGAGGUAGAAGCUCACCAAGCCGACGACGGGUAGGGGGCCUGAGAGGGUGGUCCCCCACACUGGGACUGACACACGGCCCAGACUCCUACGGGAGGCAGCAGUAAGGGAUAUUGCGCAAUGGGCGAAAGCCUGACGCAGCAACGCCGCGUGGAGGAUGACGGCCUUCGGGUUGUAAACUCCUUUGGACCCGGACGAGGAAGGACGGUACGGGUCGAACAAGUCACGGCUAACUACGUGCCAGCAGCCGCGGUAAAACGUAGGUGGCGAGCGUUAUCCGGAUUUACUGGGCGUAAAGCGUGUGCAGGCGGACCGUCAAGUGGUGUAUGAAAUCGCCCGGCUUAACCGGGCGGGGUUAGGCCAGACUGACGGACUGGAGUGCGAGAGAGGGGCGUGGAAUUCCGGGUGUAGUGGUGGAAUGCGUAGAGAUCCGGAGGAACCCCAGCGGCGAAGGCGGCGCCCUGGCUCGCAACUGACGCUCAGACACGACAGCAUGGGGAGCGAACGGGAUUAGAAACCCCGGUAGUCCAUGCCGUAAACAAUGCCAACUAGGCGUCGGGGGUCUCAACCCCCUCGGUGCCGGAGCUAACGCGGGAAGUUGGCCGCCUGGGGAGUACGGCCGCAAGGCUAAAACUCAAA